UGUUUCGGCUAGGGGGCCAUCCCGGCUUACCAACCCGAUGCAAACUGCGAAUACCGGAGAAUGUUAUCACGGGAGACACACGGCGGGUGCUAACGUCCGUCGUGAAGAGGGAAACAACCCAGACCGCCAGCUAAGGUCCCAAAGUCAUGGUUAAGUGGGAAACGAUGUGGGAAGGCCCAGACAGCCAGGAUGUUGGCUUAGAAGCAGCCAUCAUUUAAAGAAAGCGUAAUAGCUCACUGGUCGAGUCGGCCUGCGCGGAAGAUGUAACGGGGCUAAACCAUGCACCGAAGCUGCGGCAGCGACGCUCAGGCGUUGUUGGGUAGGGGAGCGUUCUGUAAGCCUGUGAAGGUGGCCUGUGAGGGUUGCUGGAGGUAUCAGAAGUGCGAAUGCUGACAUAAGUAACGAUAAAGCGGGUGAAAAGCCCGCUCGCCGGAAGACCAAGGGUUCCUGUCCAACGUUAAUCGGGGCAGGGUGAGUCGACCCCUAAGGCGAGGCCGAAAGGCGUAGUCGAUGGGAAACGGGUUAAUAUUCCCGUACUUGGUGUUACUGCGAAGGGGGGACGGAGAAGGCUAUGUUGGCCGGGCGACGGUUGUCCCGGUUUAAGCGUGUAGGUGUGUGUUCCAGGUAAAUCCGGUUCACUUUAACACUGAGGCGUGACGACGAGGCACUACGGUGCUGAAGCAACAAAUGCCCUGCUUCCAGGAAAAGCCUCUAAGCAUCAGGUAACAUCAAAUCGUACCCCAAACCGACACAGGUGGUCAGGUAGAGAAUACCAAGGCGCUUGAGAGAACUCGGGUGAAGGAACUAGGCAAAAUGGUGCCGUAACUUCGGGAGAAGGCACGCUGACACGUAGGUGAAGUGAUUUACUCAUGGAGCUGAAGUCAGUCGAAGAUACCAGCUGGCUGCAACUGUUUAUUAAAAACACAGCACUGUGCAAACACGAAAGUGGACGUAUACGGUGUGACGCCUGCCCGGUGCCGGAAGGUUAAUUGAUGGGGUCAGCGCAAGCGAAGCUCCUGAU
Molecule: ribosomal RNA, 1021 nt
Filed under: Salmonella enterica
Lineage: Bacteria; Pseudomonadati; Pseudomonadota; Gammaproteobacteria; Enterobacterales; Enterobacteriaceae
Also listed under: 1 other name
Description: partial 23S ribosomal RNA
Rfam family: Bacterial large subunit ribosomal RNA
Source: RNAcentral